AGAAUGGAGCUGGAGCGGAUGGUGAGGAAAAGAAAGAAACGGAACGGGGAAAGAGAAAGAGAAAUCCGAAGAGGGGCGGGGAGUGGGAAGGAAAGCUAUGAUGUAUGGACGCUCGCCAGCACCCAGCCAAGCGCCCCAUCGCCCAAGCCUGCCUGCCUCCCUCACUGGUCGGGAGACCAAGGGCUCCCUGGGGCUGACAGCCCUCCUGACCCCGGCUCGGGCAAGGCGCUGAUGCCCCAAGUAGCCUCUGCAGCCAGCCCAUCCGACCCGCCACUCCCUGGACCGCGCUCGCCACCCGGGCCCCGACUUCUCCCGGCGCCCCCAUCACUAGUCUCGGGGGCAAAGCCGAGAUGAGCAGAGAGCAGCUCAAGGGCUGGAAAAAUCAAAAAGGAGAGAAAGGGACAGAGGCAACCAAAAAGAUUUUUUUUGUAAUAAUCUGGUAACAUCACGGGGAAGCGCCAGGGGAGGGACCGAGGCGAGCACCUGGGAAGGAGCACACUGUGGCAAACACCCGGGGCUCCGGCGGGCUAGGCGAUUUCCCACAAAAGGAACUUUGCAAGGAGCGCAGCGGUUUGCAAUGGGAGAGAAGGCGAUCGCAGCGUUACCUGGCCGAGGUCAUGCCCGCGGGCCGCCGAAAUCCUCAGGUUUGCGGAAUUGAGCCACUUGAUCAGGUUACUAUGGAAAUCGUCUUAAGGGGAGAGGGGGUAUAAAGCGACCCAGGCAUAUCCUUGUCACCGCGAAGGAAACUGCUGGGGCUGCGAGCGCGGGCGCGGGACCGGGCGCGGCACCUCUCCGGCCCGGCUGGCUGCGUCCUGCUCCUCGGCCGGGCCGCGCCUCCCCGCCCCGCGCCGCCGCCGAGCAGCCCGCGGCCGCCGAGCUCUCCGCGCGCAGCCGGAGCGAAAGCGCGAGCUCGCGGUGCCAGCCGGCCUGGGCGGAGAGAGGCGCUGUUUCCCAGCCGCACAGCUGGAAUUUAAAGAGACAGACGCGCCGCCGGGUUUGGGGCCCCGGCCCUGGAGGGGAGCCCGCCCCGCCGCCGGACGCCCACGGUCUGCUCCCCGGCAGAAAGCACCCAGAGGGUCCCCGCGAGAAGUUUCCUGGGCGACAGUGCGAGGAGCGUGAGGACCAGCCUCAGCCUCCCCUCGAGAAGGCAAACUGCAGACUGCAAGGAGAGACUCUGGAAAUACAAGAUUAAACGUACAUUCCAACCUCUCCUCCAGCAUCUUCUGCGAGAUCCCCAGCAACUAGGAACACAGGUCUGCCUCUGUGGCUGAGAAGCAGCAAAACCUAGCAGGAGGAAGAAUCCAGUCCAGCCCAUUUCUAUUCCUGGCUGAACCGUGACCACGUCUUCCACGGCUGGCUGUCACCGUUAAGACUCCCUCCUAUCUUGUUCCAAACAGAAGAUCUCCAAAAUGAAAAUUCUGCGGUUGGAGUCCAGCAACCUGCCUUUCAACAAGUCUUCCUAAUGAUUCUGAUGCAUUGAUAUGAGAACUACUGGACAACAAAGAAUUAGUGACAUUGUUCUCCUUCGGAAUUGAGAAACCUGCAUUCAUCUUCAGCAGACAUCAGUCGAG
Molecule: long non-coding RNA, 1571 nt
Organism: Heterocephalus glaber (naked mole-rat)
Lineage: Eukaryota; Metazoa; Chordata; Mammalia; Rodentia; Bathyergidae
Source: Ensembl